UAUAUAUUCAUGUUAUAAAGGAAAUAUCUACAUUUCCAUCUAAUUCUCUUGAUUGCCAACGGAUCCAUUACAUGUCACCUAUGAGGAGAUUAGACAAAAUGUGUUCUCGAGUACCAAACCUUCACACAAAUAUUAUUCUUCAAUCACUUGACUUCAUAAAUUACAGAGGACCGAACGAAAGUACUCAAUUCGUAAUUAGUUUUGAGGAUGGAAGUCUUUUCUCCUUAGAUGAAUAUAAUAAGGAUAAAAUGUGAAGUGAAUUUGGACGCCAAAGAAAAAAAAAAAACGGAAUUUGGCAGAGUAGAUCCCUUUUGUAUAUUGAAUUAUUGAUAAAGAUAUAGAUUGGUACAUAUGUAAAUGGAAGUUAAGACAUUAGCCGAAGAGUGGCAGUAUCCACGAAACCAAUAAACAGACAAGUUACUGAUGAAUACAUGAUCUUUACUAAAAAGUUAUACAAAGAACUCCGUACAACAAAUGCAGCUCAGAAAGACUGGUUUCAUUGGCAGCCAAACAAUUUGGUUCUAUGUAACAAAAUUUACCAUCAAGUGCCUAAUAAUUUAUUGCGUUGGAGCUGCUAAAAAUUGACCAAAUGUAACAGAAGCAUACUUACGAAAGAA
Molecule: long non-coding RNA, 617 nt
Organism: Arachis stenosperma
Lineage: Eukaryota; Viridiplantae; Streptophyta; Magnoliopsida; Fabales; Fabaceae
Exons: 2
Source: RefSeq, a predicted model, not a curated record